RNAcentral lists this ribosomal RNA (482 nucleotides) under uncultured Flavobacteriaceae bacterium. Its description in RNAcentral is "bacterial SSU rRNA". It matches the Rfam family "Bacterial small subunit ribosomal RNA", at positions 28 to 505 of the family's 1533-position model. The record is from RNAcentral. Lineage: Bacteria; Pseudomonadati; Bacteroidota; Flavobacteriia; Flavobacteriales; Flavobacteriaceae.
GAUGAACGCUAGCGGCAGGCUUAACACAUGCAAGUCGAGGGGUAACAGAGGUGCUUGCACUUGCUGACGACCGGCGCACGGGUGCGUAACGCGUAUAGAACCUACCUUUAACUAAGGGAUAGCCCAGAGAAAUUUGGAUUAAUACCUUAUAGUAUUGUUGUAAUGCAUAUUUUAACAAUUAAAGAUUUAUUGGUUAGAGAUGGCUAUGCGUCUUAUUAGCUAGUUGGUAAGGUAACGGCUUACCAAGGCAACGAUAAGUAGGGGUCCUGAGAGGGAGAUCCCCCACACUGGUACUGAGACACGGACCAGACUCCUACGGGAGGCAGCAGUGAGGAAUAUUGGACAAUGGAGGCAACUCUGAUCCAGCCAUGCCGCGUGUAGGAAGACUGCCCUAUGGGUUGUAAACUACUUUUAUAGAGGAAGAAAUAUAGGUAUGUAUAUUUAUUUGACGGUACUCUACGAAUAAGGAUCGGCUAACUCCG